GUAAACGUCUUUUUGAGGGCGUGUAGAUCAUUCACGAUCAUUGAGAAUUGCUCAAACAUUUCAUCUACUUUCUCUCCUUCCUUCAUGUGGAAUAGUUCAUAAGAGUGAGUCAAGAAAUUAAUUUUAGCUUCUCGUACCUGGUCGGUUCCUUCAUAUGUCACUUCAAGCUUAUCCCACAUUUCUUUUGCUGUUUUGCAACAUGAUAUCUUCCUGUAGUCGUUAGCAUUAACAGCACAAUAUAAUAAAUUNNNN
Molecule: long non-coding RNA, 252 nt
Filed under: Nicotiana benthamiana
Lineage: Eukaryota; Viridiplantae; Streptophyta; Magnoliopsida; Solanales; Solanaceae
Description: long non-coding RNA (NBEN_LNC037661)
Source: RNAcentral